Molecule: ribosomal RNA, 776 nt
Filed under: uncultured Neocallimastigales
Lineage: Eukaryota; Fungi; Neocallimastigomycota; Neocallimastigomycetes; Neocallimastigales
Description: partial large subunit ribosomal RNA
Rfam family: Eukaryotic large subunit ribosomal RNA
Source: RNAcentral
UACUAGAGUAGCACUCGCAUAUCAAUAAGCGGGAGGAAAAGAAACUAACAAGGAUUCCCCUAGUAACGGCGAGUGAAGCGGGAAGAGCUCAAAUUUGAAAUCUUAAAGGGUUUCCCUUUACGAAUUGUAGUUUAAAGAAGUGUUUUCUGUUGAGGUUUUGGUAAAAGUUCUUUGGAAUAGGACAUCAUAGAGGGUGAGAAUCCCGUAUUUGACCUUUACUUUCAACUUUGUGAUACACUUUCAAAGAGUCGGAUUGUUUGGGAAUGCAGUCCAAAAUGGGUGGUAAAUUUCAUCUAAAGCUAAAGUAUUGGCGAGAGACCGAUAGCGAACAAGUACCGUGAGGGAAAGAUGAAAAGAACUUUGAAAGGAGAGUUAAACAGUACGUGAAAUUGUCAAAAGGGAAGCGUUUGACACCAGUGUUGUUUUUCUGAAAAUCAAUUAAAGAACUGUUUAUGCUAAGCUGUUUAGACUUUAUCAGCUAUCUGUUUAGUUUUGAGCUUUUCUUUAAUGCACUUUUCAGUUAACAAGUCAACAUCAAUUUCUUUUGCUGUAAAAAAGCUUGAGGAAGGUGGCUUGAGAUUCGUCUUAAGUGUUUAUAGCCUCUUGCCUAUGCAGUCGGAGAGAUUGAGGUCUGCAGCGUAGAUCCUUCGGGGCUAAAUGCAUUUGUGCUAAGUUAUAGCAUUUUAUAGACAACUUGUUGACUAUGAUUUGUCUUGUAGCUUACUCGCUUAUGUUAUUUUACCUACGCUUAGGAUGUUGAACUACUGAGACAUAGA